Oryza brachyantha (malo sina) is the source of this 589-nucleotide long non-coding RNA. RefSeq lists it as uncharacterized. NCBI's taxonomy places the organism in Eukaryota, Viridiplantae, Streptophyta, Magnoliopsida, Poales, Poaceae. The record is from RefSeq and is a predicted model, not a curated record. The transcript is spliced from 5 exons.
CCGCAAUCCCCUCUAUCCGACGUCGCAAAUCCUUCCUACUCUGCAAUCAGGCGACACUUUCCCCUUCAUCCAUUGCCGCUAUCCCCGCUGCCUGACGCUGCAAGCCACCUCCCUUAUGGCGGACUGGUGCUUCAGCCCGACCGGAGACUGAGGAGGUCAUCUUCUCUGGUGUGUGAUCAGCUUGGGCUUCAUAUCCUCCUGCGGAGAUCCGCGACGGAGCUGCAAGAGACCAACUGCUGCUAAAGAAACGAUUUGCUGUUGUUAUGGGACAAAUCAGAGACUACAGAGCAGAAGAUUUCAGCACUGCUUCUGCUCUCAAUUUUACAGCUUCGUUGAAGAGAACAAAAUCUUGAGAUGGCUGGUCCCCCAAAGGAGACGGUGCAGGGCACUGAGAGGCUGAUUCGGAUCCAUGAGAUGAGGCGGACCCAACAACUUGAUUUGGGGAUGAAGAUGGCAAACACAGACCAUGCAACGGUUGGCUGGGGAGGGGAGCAACGGUUGGAAGCAGCAACGGCCACUUGCAAUUUAAAAUUUGUUGUCAGAAAUCAACUCUGUUGUUGCCGACAGUAGUACUAGUAUCUGGUUGUAA